This 394-nucleotide long non-coding RNA is filed under the name Nicotiana benthamiana. RNAcentral describes it as "long non-coding RNA (NBEN_LNC010421)". The record is from RNAcentral. Lineage: Eukaryota; Viridiplantae; Streptophyta; Magnoliopsida; Solanales; Solanaceae.
GAAUGAGAAGGUUAGAUACCUUAUACAUUUCUCCAAAAUGCCUACCAGCUAACCAAGCAUAACACUAGAUCCAUUGGGCAUAAUAAUAAGCAUAACAUGAUUCAUAUGCAUGAACACUUGUCUAUUAUGGAUACGUAAAUUCUGAACUAAGGUGGAUAUAGGAAUACAGAACUGGCAUGAAUAAUCGAAUGCUGAACUGACGUGAAUAUUUGAUCAUUGAACUCACAUCAAUAUUUGAGUAUUAAGCUGGUAUGAAUAUUUGAGUACUAGACUGACAUGAGAUUUGAAUACUUGAAUGUUAUAAUGUGACACAUGAAAUACUGGUGUACAACAAUUAAUUAUGGUUGAAAUUCUAACUCAUAUGCUACCUACCCGAUCUUUUAUAGGAUAUUAU